UCCGGUUUGUCACCGGCAGUCACCUUAGAGUGCCCAACUGAAUGCUGGCAACUAAGGGCGAGGGUUGCGCUCGUUGCGGGACUUAACCCAACAUCUCACGACACGAGCUGACGACAGCCAUGCAGCACCUGUCACCGGUCCAGCCGAACUGAAGGAAUCCAUCUCUGGAAACCGCGACCAGCAUGUCAAGCCCUGGUAAGGUUCUUCGCGUUGCAUCGAAUUAAACCACACGCUCCGCCGCUUGUGCGGGCCCCCGUCAAUUCCUUUGAGUUUCAGCCUUGCGGCCGUACUCCCCAGGCGGGGCACUUACUGCGUUAGCGACGGCACCGGGAGGGUCGCUCCCCCCGACGCCUAGUGCCCAUCGUUUACGGCGUGGACUAC
Molecule: unclassified non-coding RNA, 381 nt
Filed under: uncultured bacterium
Lineage: Bacteria
Description: contains 16S-23S intergenic spacer region
Source: RNAcentral